UCGAGAAUAUUUGGCAAUGGGCGAAAGCCUGACCAUGCGACGCCGCGUGCUGGACGAAGUCCUUCGGGACGUAAACAGCUUUUACGCGUGAAGAAGUCAUUGACAUUAGCGCGAGAAUAAGGGGCUCCUAACUCUGUGCCAGCAGGAGCGGUAAUACAGAGGCCCCGAGCAUUACCCGGAAUCACUGGGCGUAAAGGGUGUGUAGGCGGUGUAGUUAGUCUUUCGUAAAAGCACUGGGGCUUAACCCCGGUAAUGCGGGAGAAACGGCUAUACUCGAGGAUGCGAGAGGUAAAGGGAACUCAUGGUGUAGGGGUGAAAUCCGUUGAUAUCAUGGGGAACACCAAAUGCGAAGGCACUUUACUGGCGCACUCCUGACGCUGAAACACGAAAGCGUGGGAAUCGAACGGGAUUAGAUACCCGUGUAGUCC
This 428-nucleotide ribosomal RNA is filed under the name uncultured bacterium. Its description in RNAcentral is "bacterial SSU rRNA". It matches the Rfam family "Bacterial small subunit ribosomal RNA", at positions 355 to 796 of the family's 1533-position model. The record is from RNAcentral.